This 690-nucleotide ribosomal RNA is filed under the name uncultured Acidobacteriota bacterium. Its description in RNAcentral is "bacterial SSU rRNA". It matches the Rfam family "Bacterial small subunit ribosomal RNA", at positions 15 to 737 of the family's 1533-position model. Lineage: Bacteria; Pseudomonadati; Acidobacteriota. The record is from RNAcentral.
GAUCCUGGCUCAGAAUCAACGCUGGCGGCGCGCUUAACACAUGCAAGUCGAACGAGAAAGGGAGCAAUCCUGAGUAAAGUGGCGUACGGGUGAGUAACACGUGGGUAAUCCACCCUCUGGUGGGGAAUAACUCUGGGAAACCGGAGCUAAUACCGCAUAAGACCGGGAGGUGAAAGGGCGAAAGUUCGCCGGAGGAGGAGCCCGCGGCUGAUUAGCUAGUUGGUAGGGUAAGAGCCUACCAAGGCUGAGAUCGGUAGCCGGCCUGAGAGGGCACACGGCCACACUGGCACUGAAACACGGGCCAGACUCCUACGGGAGGCAGCAGUGGGGAAUCUUGCACAAUGGGGGCAACCCUGAUGCAGCGACGCCGCGUGAGUGAUGAAGCCCUUCGGGGUGUAAAGCUCUUUCGGCAGGGACGAUAAUGACGGUACCUGAAGAAGAAGCUGCGGCUAACUACGUGCCAGCAGCCGCGGUAAUACGUAGGCAGCGAGCGUUGUUCGGAGUUACUGGGCGUAAAGCGUGCGUAGGCGGUGUCUUAAGUUUGUUGUGAAAUCUCCCGGCUUAACCGGGAGGGUGCGGCGAAUACUGAGAUGCUGGAGUGCGGGAGAGGUAAGCGGAAUUCCUGGUGUAGCGGUGAAAUGCGUAGAUAUCAGGAGGAACACCUGCGGUGUAGACGGCUUACUGGACCGU